This 1187-nucleotide ribosomal RNA is filed under the name Escherichia coli. Its description in RNAcentral is "partial 23S ribosomal RNA". It matches the Rfam family "Bacterial large subunit ribosomal RNA", at positions 559 to 1746 of the family's 2925-position model. The record is from RNAcentral. Lineage: Bacteria; Pseudomonadati; Pseudomonadota; Gammaproteobacteria; Enterobacterales; Enterobacteriaceae.
UGUACGUACAAGCAGUGGGAGCACAGAGCAAUCUGUGUGACUGCGUACCUUUUGUAUAAUGGGUCAGCGACUUAUAUUCUGUAGCAAGGUUAACCGAAUAGGGGAGCCGAAGGGAAACCGAGUCUUAACUGGGCGUUAAGUUGCAGGGUAUAGACCCGAAACCCGGUGAUCUAGCCAUGGGCAGGUUGAAGGUUGGGUAACACUAACUGGAGGACCGAACCGACUAAUGUUGAAAAAUUAGCGGAUGACUUGUGGCUGGGGGUGAAAGGCCAAUCAAACCGGGAGAUAGCUGGUUCUCCCCGAAAGCUAUUUAGGUAGCGCCUCGUGAAUUCAUCUCCGGGGGUAGAGCACUGUUUCGGCAAGGGGGUCAUCCCGACUUACCAACCCGAUGCAAACUGCGAAUACCGGAGAAUGUUAUCACGGGAGACACACGGCGGGUGCUAACGUCCGUCGUGAAGAGGGAAACAACCCAGACCGCCAGCUAAGGUCCCAAAGUCAUGGUUAAGUGGGAAACGAUGUGGGAAGGCCCAGACAGCCAGGAUGUUGGCUUAGAAGCAGCCAUCAUUUAAAGAAAGCGUAAUAGCUCACUGGUCGAGUCGGCCUGCGCGGAAGAUGUAACGGGGCUAAACCAUGCACCGAAGCUGCGGCAGCGACGCUUAUGCGUUGUUGGGUAGGGGAGCGUUCUGUAAGCCUGUGAAGGUGUACUGUGAGGUAUGCUGGAGGUAUCAGAAGUGCGAAUGCUGACAUAAGUAACGAUAAAGCGGGUGAAAAGCCCGCUCGCCGGAAGACCAAGGGUUCCUGUCCAACGUUAAUCGGGGCAGGGUGAGUCGACCCCUAAGGCGAGGCCGAAAGGCGUAGUCGAUGGGAAACAGGUUAAUAUUCCUGUACUUGGUGUUACUGCGAAGGGGGGACGGAGAAGGCUAUGUUGGCCGGGCGACGGUUGUCCCGGUUUAAGCGUGUAGGCUGGUUUUCCAGGCAAAUCCGGAAAAUCAAGGCUGAGGCGUGAUGACGAGGCACUACGGUGCUGAAGCAACAAAUGCCCUGCUUCCAGGAAAAGCCUCUAAGCAUCAGGUAACAUCAAAUCGUACCCCAAACCGACACAGGUGGUCAGGUAGAGAAUACCAAGGCGCUUGAGAGAACUCGGGUGAAGGAACUAGGCAAAAUGGUGCCGUAACUUCGGGAGAAGG